AUCUGCCCUAAUUUUUUUAAGUUUUUCACUCUACAAUUUAGUCUCUUUUUUUUCUCUUUAGUCUACUCUCGCUUCUCCACUUCAUUUGAAUGCUUGGAUCAGUUCUUUAAUUGUUAGGAAAAUCCAUAGAUUUGAGCUUAUUUUUCUAUCAUUUUCUCAUAAUCUUAUUUAUUUUGUAUAAUCCCUAAUCAAUGGUGGCUAUCAACUAUAAAAUAAUUAUGUUAAUCAUAUAUUUAGUUAAAUAUGAUCAUAAUAAAAAUAAUAAAGCACUAAAUAUAAUAAAUCAUUUUUAACUUAUAUGCUAUUAUUUAAUGAUAUAGAAAUGAUGAUGGUGUGCAUUGGAUAUCAAGACGGUAAAGGAGACAUUAGAAUAUUAUAAUGAUCUUAUUCCUGCAAUUACUUUUGAUUGAUAUUUUAUUAUCUUUCUUAUUUAUUUAUUUUGGUGUAAAAGUAGAAUCUACGAUACUUAUUAGAUUUUUUAUACAAAUUAUAUAAUUUUAAUUGUUACCAAUGCAUUUUAGUCUUAAAUUUUCUUACUAAAAAAAUAUUGAUCUCUUAUUAUUGAGAUUUAGAAUUCGUGAUGGAUCUAGAGCAGAUUUAGAUUUUAAUUUUUUUUUUAUUUGGAGCAGAUAUAGAUCUUUAUUUUUUAUUUUGGAUCUAGAUAUGAAGCGAAAAAUAUAGAUCCAUGACGGAUCUGAAACAAAUACGGAUCUUAAUUUUUAUUACGAAUCUGAACCUGGAGCAAUAUAAAUCCAAUCUAUAUCUGCUCUAUUAUCAUCCCUACAAAUGCAUCAGGGUUAACAAGGCAAGGAAUCAUUCACCACUUGAUUUUUAAAUCCUCAAUUUAAAUGUUUCAUCGGUCCAAUUUAUGUUAUAUACUGCUUCAUUAAUUAAUUACUCACCCACUGGAGGACUUAGUAGUUACAAUAGUCAAAUUUCUAUAUUAUCUAAUAAUUUAUAAUGGAUGGAAGCCUUCUCGUCUUUUCAAUUCUGCAAUUACAUUUUCGGUCCCACUCUCGACAGUGAUCAGGGGCUUGGAAUCCCACUUCAUUUGACCGAGAAAUGUUAUUGCAAUUUGCAUCAGCUUUGUGGCCAUGGGAGCGUGGACUACGUGUCAGUUUCCAAAUGGAUCAAUUAUUCGUUCAUAUUCACUACGAAAAAAAGAAAAAAAGUGCUUUUAGUACCACUAUCUAAUAAUAUCUCAUUUUUCCUGACUUAUCAACAGACCAUGUCGUCCGCAGUCCGCACGUUAUGUUUCAAUCAACUGCAUCAACCAACCAUAUAUUAUUGAUGCGUUGAAUGAUUAUUUAUUUCCAAAUUAAAAUAGAUACUAUUUUCAAAGUUUCCCAAUGGUCGUGACUCGUGAUUCGAUAAAAGAAUUUUCUACGGGAUGAACCGUUUGAUUUUUCUUUCUUACGUACCGACAGCUUUGGCCCACACUGGGGAGGUGUUAGCUUCCAAGUAAUGCAGCAGUUAUGCCUUGUUGUCUGAUAGCAACAGCAACAAGGAAAGACAGUAUUUGUCUCCUUAUUAAAACAUAUCAUAAUUCAUAGAAUUUGAAUGUGAUCAUCGUUUGACAAAAACUUGUUACCGUAAACUUGGCCCACAUGAGUGAGAAUUCCACACACAUGUAUUGACUAAAAAUCCGUUGUUUAGGUAUCAUAUGAAUGUGAUAUAUUGAAAUAUUUAUCUAAUUGUCCACGUUGCCGUAUUAUUUAGAUUAGAGUAUCAUUUAGGUGUUAUUGUUAGAACAAUACUAAGUAUACUGCCACGUUAAAUUCUGCAUUUCAACUUAUGAUCACGUCUCUUGAAUCGACUUUCACUUCACUACACCCCGCAUCUUGGGUUGGGGAUCGGGUUUGGGGAAGCACAUAAAAUUGAUUUAAGGUAUCCCCUUCAAUUUCUCCAAAUUCAUUUCGGGUUAGGAAAGGAAAUACACAUGUAUCGCGACCUGCGACCUGCGACCUGCACAGUAUUUCCUGAAAUUUCAAUAUAGUUUCUAAAAAGCUCUAAAGUGGUGUUUCGUUGGAAAAAGGGGAUAGACCCGUAACCUGAUUUUUUUUUUUUUUUUCACUUUUGUUGUUUGGUUGGAUAAAAUAUAUAAGAACUUAAUUUCAAUUA
Molecule: long non-coding RNA, 2121 nt
Filed under: Citrus x clementina
Lineage: Eukaryota; Viridiplantae; Streptophyta; Magnoliopsida; Sapindales; Rutaceae
Description: Citrus clementina (C. clementina) long non-coding RNA (CCLE_LNC001579)
Source: RNAcentral